CCCUUAGAUGUUCUGGGCCGCACGCGUGCUACACUGAGUGGAUCAGCGGGUCAGGUUGCGCGAAAGCGUUUCCUAAUCUUUAAAUCCGCUCGUGAUGGGGAUUGACGGUUGCAAUUUUCUGUCAUGAACGAGGAAUACCUUGUAAGCGCGGGUCAUCAUCCCGCGCUGAAUACGUCCCUGCCCUUUGUACACACCGCCCGCCGCCCCUACCGAUUGAGUGGUCCGGUGAGGCUUUGGGAUCUGAGCGGAAAGAGCGUUUCGCUGUUUCUGCUCGGAAAACUCAGUCGAACCUUAUCAUUUAGAGGAAGGAGAAGUCGUAACA
Molecule: ribosomal RNA, 322 nt
Filed under: uncultured eukaryote
Lineage: Eukaryota
Description: partial 18S ribosomal RNA
Rfam family: Eukaryotic small subunit ribosomal RNA
Source: RNAcentral